AGACGUCUACGAGUUUGAUCCUGGCUUAGACUGAACGCUGGCGGCAUGGUUAAAGCAUGCAAGUCGAACGCGAACCACCUUCGGGUGGGGAAAGUGGCGAAAGGGCGAGGAAUACGAUCGAAUGUGCCCCGAGGUGGGGGAUAGCGUCGAGAAAUCGGCGGUAAUACCCCAUGUGCUCUACGGAGGAAAGGUUUACCGCCUUGGGAGCAGCGAUCGUCCUAUCAGGUAGUUGGUGGGGUAAUGGCCUACCAAGCCGAAGACGGGUAGCGGGUGUGAGAGCAUGACCCGCCGCAUCGGAACUGAGACACUGUCCGGACUCCUACGGGAGGCUGCAGCGACGAAUAUUCCGCAAUGGGCGAAAGCCUGACGGAGCAAUGCCGCGUGUGGGAUGAAGCGCCUUCGGCGUGUAAACCACUGUCAGGUCCUAGGAACACUGACCAGGACCAGAGGAAGGGCCGGCUAACCUCGUG
This 470-nucleotide ribosomal RNA is filed under the name uncultured bacterium. RNAcentral's name for it is "bacterial SSU rRNA". It matches the Rfam family "Bacterial small subunit ribosomal RNA", at positions 1 to 507 of the family's 1533-position model. The record is from RNAcentral.